Molecule: long non-coding RNA, 1742 nt
Organism: Cyprinus carpio carpio
Lineage: Eukaryota; Metazoa; Chordata; Actinopteri; Cypriniformes; Cyprinidae
Source: Ensembl
AAUGACAAAGCCAAAAUUCAGGCCUUGCCCAAGCUGCCAAGUCCGUCAGCAGGCCAACCGCAAAAACAUGCAGUGCUUGUUUUGCCACACUGCCAAGCAAGCGGUUAUUAAAAACUGCAAAAAUUAAUGAUGACUGGGGCCAGAGGGUCGUCAAAAACAAAAAUGCAUCUCGGGUGGUGGCCUCUGCCCAAAUAGCUGUCCAAAAACUUUCUGCCUUGGGCUAUAUGCCCAUAUUAUUUAUCAGCCAGAGGCACAAGGGCACAGGCAAGUUGAUGGCAGAUGUAGUCACGCAUCUGCCACCGACGCAAAACAACACACGUUUCUUAACCAGCAUGAAGAGGGCAUAUGACUUCAUAAUCAAACUGGAUGGUAAGAUAAGUUUUAUGUAUAGUUCAUUAGUGGUUGUCGUUGAUUUCUUUGACAAUGUGUACUGAAUUUAUAUUUUUGCUAACUUCACAACAGAUGUGCCCCAGCCCCAGCCCCAGCAAGACCAGCCCCUCCACCUAGACCAACCCCUACCCCAAGACCAGCCCCCUGCCCCUAGACCAGCUAAUCCCCACAAGACCAGCCCCCAGACCAGCCCCAGCAAGACCAGCCCCUAGACCAGCCCCAGCAAGACCAGCCCCUGCCCCUAGACCAGCUAAUCCCACAAGACCAGCCCCAGCAAGACCAGCCCCUGCCCCUAGACCAGCUAAUCCCACAAGACCAGCCUACCCCAACAGACCAGCAAAUUAUUAAACUUGAACUAUUUACGAUCGACUCACAGGCUCAGCAGCAUGUGGAGCCUCUACCACCCAGGAAAAGACAAAGUAAGUAAUCUUGCAUUGCACCACAUCUGUAAAUUUGUCCUAUGUUUUUUUGCAAUCAGUGCACAAUAUAAAACAAGUUACACAUGGUGAAUUUCACCUCUUUUAAUUAAUUAAGCCACUCCUCCAAGAUACUGAAUAUACAAUUCUCAACCUUUUUUUCCCUUGCAUCUUAAGCCCCACUAUCCACCCCGGGCCUACCAUCCACCCCAGGCCAAGGCAAACGAGCCCCACCAUCCAUCCAACCUCAACUAAAGAAAAGACAAAGUAAGUAAUCUUGCCUUGCACCCCAUCUGUAAAUUGGUCCCAUGGUUUUGUAAUCAUUGUAUUAAUAUAAAAUAAGUUAACCAAUGUGAAUUUCACCCCCUUCUAUUAAUUAAGCCACUUCCCCAAGAUACUGAAUAUAUAAUUCUUAAUCUUUUCCCCUUGCACCCUAAGCCACAGGUAAAGGAGCCACACAAGCCCCACCCUCUACCCUGGCCAAAAAGAAGAAAACAAAAAGCAAGUAGACAUUCUUUGCACCCCAUGUGUAUAUUUGUUUCUAUUCUUUGCACCCCAUGUGUAUAUCAGCAGCCAUGUGUUGGGUGUAAAUGUGUUUUUGCAUGUAGCCCCCUUUAAUUGGACCAAACUCAGGGUGUAUUCACACUUGGUCUUUUUUUCAGCCCUCAAAGUGAACUAAGAACAGUGACUCAUAUAUGAACACCUCAAGCAAACUCAGACCCAUUUGAAAUGAACCAAACGUUUUUUUGCCUUUGUCAUUUAAGGUUGCAAAUGCAGUCGACAGACAAUUUAUCCAUACGAUAAAAUAUUGGAAAGACGGAUGAAUGGGGUAAGAUGUAGAACCAUAUUUUUCAUUAGGCUGUCUGAUUAUCUCUUGACUCAUGUCUGUCUCAUCUUUCAAUCCACAUGUGACAAAACAGUAACACUGAGCAGUAG